GGGCCGCUAGCUCAACUGGCAGAGCAGAUGACUCUUAAUCAUCAGGUUCGAGGUUCGAUUCCUCGGCGGCUCACCA
RNAcentral lists this transfer RNA (76 nucleotides) under Chloroflexi bacterium RBG_13_51_52. Its description in RNAcentral is "tRNA-Lys". It matches the Rfam family "tRNA". From Rfam's summary of the family: Transfer RNA (tRNA) molecules are approximately 80 nucleotides in length. RNAcentral also lists the same sequence under 1 other name. The record is from RNAcentral. Lineage: Bacteria; Bacillati; Chloroflexota.